AAAGGCUAGGAGCCAGCUGAGGAGGUAGGCACAGCAGUGGGAAACAAAACUUCCUGCUUGCGGUGGCAGGAGCACCAAGGGCCUCCACUUUUUGAUAUUGAGGUGGGUGAACAGCUCUGUUUGCAGGAUCUCAUUCCAGUUUUGAGGAGUAAGUACAUUCUUGUCCGGUCUUCAGAGUGAUGCAGUUUGGAAAAAACAACAUACCAAAGCAGUUUUCUUCCAUGUGGUCCUCCAUCAGCAUAGAUGUGUGCACUAUCUGUGCCCACCAAUUUACCUAGGUAUCACCUUCAUCAAGAGAAGACGGGGGAAAGAGAACGUUUUCCUGUUGAGAAGAGAAUCCUUUUCAACUUACUGAUUGAGAGGACAUGCUUUCCAUCCUAUUUUGUUUUUUAUUUCUCCCAAGGAUUGACACAGGCAGAAAAAAAGUCUAGAUCACAAAUGGCAAUCGGUCUGGUCAGCAAGGACUGAAAAAAAAUGUCACAAGUGCCUUUGCAAUAGAUACCUCUGCAAGCACACAGCAGGAAGACCAAUAGCUGGGAGAGAAGUACAUCCAUCACCAAUGGGCAGGCACUCCACGCUGCUCACUGCCUCCCAAAACCUGCAGAUGCAGCAGGGAGCUGUGGCUUCCAUCAGCGGAGGAGCUUUACUUAUGGGGACAUGCAGGGUCCAGCACUGAUCAUGUUCAAAUCCAAGUGAUAACUCAGCGAUGGCCCAAGCACCCACCUACAAACACUGCACUCUGCAUGGGAACAACAGGAAACUGCGGUCAGAGGGAACAGCUGCCUUAACUCACACAGAUGCUGGAUAUAGACACAGCAAUUAAUACUACAGAAAUAAUGUAUUUAAA
Long non-coding RNA from Lepidothrix coronata (blue-crowned manakin), 847 nucleotides. RefSeq lists it as uncharacterized. Lineage: Eukaryota; Metazoa; Chordata; Aves; Passeriformes; Pipridae. The transcript has 4 exons. The record is from RefSeq and is a predicted model, not a curated record.